AACUCGUUGAUCCGAAACGACGCGAAGAAAGGCGAUAUCUUGCGUGUCUUGGGAAGGGAAAAACAAUCAUGAUCCUCGCAGCACACGAUGAAUCAUGAUUGGGGGGCAACUGUUGAGGGAGUUAUUGGGCUUUAAGGAUAUAAGGCCCAAUCCAAGAGAAGCCCAUCACGAAGGAGGCCUUAAAGCCCGAAGACAUCGGGAUCCGAACGACCUCGCCGCCUUACAGAUCUGCCACGUCACGAGACGCAAGGGUAGAACCGGAAAAACCUGUCAGAGUACGCCCUACUCCGCGGGGGUAUAAAAGCAGGACGACUAGUCCUGUCAAAUCAUCGAAAAACACGCUGACACGGCAAGGACACGAAGAGCUCGGCUGGGACACGAAGAGCUCGGCAAGGAUACGAAGAACUCGGCUAGGACACGAAGACCGAUCUCAAUCUAGAAAAGGAAAGCGACCUCAAUCUUCAUUCAGCUCGGAGAAGCGACCUCAAUCUUCAUUCAGUUCGGCUUCAUCGACGACCUGGAAUCCUUAAUCCGAAGUCAUCAAUCUCGGCUCGCCUAACGCCAUUUGAACUCUCGGCUCGAAUUGUUUUGGGAGAUUCUUUUUACUUCCCCAGAGAAACCCUAUUUCGUACUUGUGUGAUUCGUGCAUCAACA
This 654-nucleotide long non-coding RNA is filed under the name Arabidopsis lyrata. Its description in RNAcentral is "long non-coding RNA (ALYR_LNC003229)". The record is from RNAcentral. Lineage: Eukaryota; Viridiplantae; Streptophyta; Magnoliopsida; Brassicales; Brassicaceae.